UGUUGUAAUUUGGAAUAAAAUUUUAUGAAAAAAUUUUGAAAUAAAAAAGAAAAAGAACAAAGUUUCCAUUUGGAAAGAAAAGUUGGAAAGUUUAAAAAUAAAAUUCCAAACUUUCGAUUUGGAAGUGAAUUGGACGUCAAUGACGCAUCGUUACGCGACCACGUUAUCGUUUAUUUACAAGUAGUAUAAGUACAGGUGACGAGAAGAUGCUUGCUCGUAGAUAUAGUUACACAGGUGUGCACCGCCGUUACACGAUGUGCAAGCGGUGCAUGAAAUAAAGAAGAAGGAGGGAAAUCGAGUCACAUGCCGGAAAAUGUCAACCACGUGCAGAUAAUUUACUUGCGUGUUACAUCAUUUACGGUAAAGAGUGUGGAGAAAAACACCGUAUAACAUAUUAUGAACCACUCGCUUGUCGAUUAAGCCAAGGACGUUGUCAUUGAUUUUUUGGAUAAAAAAUACAUAAUGUUAUCGAACUGCAAAAAAGUGUUAUUCAUCGUCGUAAUUAUGAUAUGCAUAAUUCAACUUGUACAAAUUUUUAUUUUAACAUCACUCGUCGUUAUCGUUAUCAAUCAAUGUUAUACAUCUCCAUAAGAGAAUUCGAGUUUAUUUAAGAGGAAUGAAAAAUAAUAUUUUCGCUAAUUUUCUUUUUUUUUUUCAAAUCCCAUCAAAUACAUAGAUUUUUUCAAUCUUGAAACGAAAAAUUGUUAAUACACUUUGAUGCAAAAUCAAAAUUGAUCGCUUUACGCAAUUAUUUUUUCUUCGAAAUUUUAUGAAUAAAUUCUAGAAAUUUUUUUUCCACUUUCUAUUAUAUUUAUAAUACGAAAAUCGUAUUAACCGAUAACGUUGAUUAGAUAUAAGAUUUUUUAAAUUAUAUAAUAUAUAUAUAUAUAUAUUGCAUAAGUUUUAACGAGUUCUAAAAACACUUUCAUCGUUCACGUAUUAGACGAUAAUCCAAGUUUUCGAUAUUGCGCUGCGAUCGAGGUGGUUAAAAUUUUCUAUCGUGUUAUAUCAGUAUCAUUGUCGUCACAUUUCGGUACGGGACAUCGCGUAAAUAGUUCAUAAAUUGACGGGAAAUGUCAAAGCGAAAUAAUAUCAUUAACGGAUAAAGCGUUGCUGGAUAUUACAUCGAUAACGAUACGUGGUCGUAUGAUAAUCACUCGACAAUGAUGUUCCUUUCGUUAGAGAAAUUACUUGUGACGUGAUUAACCGUGAAAUUUUCUUAACGCGAAUAUCGCUUCGUGUCUAAUACAAUGGGAUUUAAAUACGUAUUCUUAUAUAAGUGUACUUCAACGUAUUCGUUUCUAUAAACGACUCAUCAAAUUUGAGAUAGAUGUGGAAAACAAAUUUGAUUAAACAAAGAAUUUUCGAAUAUCAAGAAAUAAGAAGAAAAUAAAAUGACAAUUAUCUUUGACAUUUUUGUUAUAAUAUAUAAAAAAAGUGUAACAAAAUGUGGAAAAUAAAAUAUCAUCGUUUAUUAUUCAUCGAAGUUUGAGCAUUCUUUGUUAUCCGAUAAUUUUGUCGCGCGAUUGUUUCACAUGCGUUAUAUUUACAUAUAUGUAUAUGCGCACUGUUAUUUAUAUUCGCAUGCUAAAUGUACGAUAACUAUAUACUUUAACACGUUAUGUGCAGUUAUUGCAAAUAUUGACAAGGAACUUUUUUUUCCUUCGUGUACAUACACAUACACAUCGUGUCCAAUUUAUCCGUUUUAUUUACGUGUGAAAAAAAUCAUUAAUUUGCAUAUUAUCUUAGAAUAAAUAUAAGAAUCGUGGUGUCAAAAACGACAAGCAUCUCGUAAACGAAUCGUUAAACUUAGAGAUAGAAAAAUAAAGUGCGAUGCAGUUAGUAUCGCGUACUAUUUCUUCAUUAUUGUCGACUCUCAUCCUUCGUAUAAAUGGAAUUUAUCAUUAGCGGCGAUUAUGCAAUUCCAUAUGCCGUAAUUGCGUAUACGAUACAACGAUGUUGAUGGCCAAUGCAUGUCGUUUGUGUUACUUUUUACUCCGUGUAAUUCCGGAAAACGGCAGAGGAAUGACAUAUACGACCGCGAUGCGAUCGAUUUGCGUAAUUCCGAGAUGUAAUUAUAUAAUGCGAAAUCGAAUUAUGUCUCGUAGUCGGAAUAAUGCUAUAAAUAAGGCUUUUGCACAACAAGUGCAUUUAUAUGACCGGGAGAAAUGUGUUUCCGUUUACAAUUAGGUAAACGAUGGUUUCGCUCUGGGUAAUAUCUUUUAUAACAGAGAACGUAACUCUUUUUCCUUUCCCACAAGGAAAGCGUAAUAUUAUUGAAUUAUCGCGUACGAAACGAUCGAUU
This 2305-nucleotide long non-coding RNA is filed under the name Apis florea (little honeybee). RNAcentral describes it as "uncharacterized LOC116415043". The record is from RNAcentral. Lineage: Eukaryota; Metazoa; Arthropoda; Insecta; Hymenoptera; Apidae.